GAUGAACGCUGGCGGCGUGCUUAACACAUGCAAGUCGAACGAAGAGCGACGGAAGCUUGCUUCUAUCAAUCUUAGUGGCGAACGGGUGAGUAACGCGUAAUCAACCUGCCCUUCAGAGGGGGACAACAGUUGGAAACGACUGCUAAUACCGCAUACGAUCUAACCUCGGCAUCGAGGAUAGAUGAAAGGUGGCCUCUACAUGUAAGCUAUCACUGAAGGAGGGGAUUGCGUCUGAUUAGCUAGUUGGAGGGGUAACGGCCCACCAAGGCGAUGAUCAGUAGCCGGUCUGAGAGGAUGAACGGCCACAUUGGGACUGAGACACGGCCCAGACUCCUACGGGAGGCAGCAGUGGGGAAUCUUCCGCAAUGGACGAAAGUCUGACGGAGCAACGCCGCGUGAGGGAUGACGGCCUUCGGGUUGUAAAGCUCUGUUAAUCGGGACGAAAGGCCUUCUUGCGAAUAGUGAGAAGGAUUGACGGUACCGGAAUAGAAAGCCACGGCUAACUACGUG
RNAcentral lists this ribosomal RNA (510 nucleotides) under uncultured bacterium. RNAcentral's name for it is "partial 16S ribosomal RNA". It matches the Rfam family "Bacterial small subunit ribosomal RNA", at positions 28 to 507 of the family's 1533-position model. The record is from RNAcentral.